This 253-nucleotide ribosomal RNA is filed under the name uncultured bacterium. Its description in RNAcentral is "partial 16S ribosomal RNA". It matches the Rfam family "Bacterial small subunit ribosomal RNA", at positions 524 to 776 of the family's 1533-position model. The record is from RNAcentral.
UACAGAGGGGGCCAGCGUUAUUCGGAAUUAUUGGGCGUAAAGGGCGCGUAGGCGGCUUUGCGUGUCUUCCGUGAAAUCCCUCGGCUCAACUGAGGACGUGCGGAAGAAACUGCAGGGCUGGAGUCCGGGAGAGGAGGGUGGAAUUCCCAGUGUAGCGGUGAAAUGCGUAGAUAUUGGGAGGAACACCGGUGGCGAAGGCGGCCCUCUGGACCGGUACUGACGCUGAUGCGCGAAAGCGUGGGGAGCAAACGGG